Pelobates cultripes (western spadefoot toad) is the source of this 229-nucleotide non-coding RNA. The record is from the annotation of a GenBank genome assembly. NCBI's taxonomy places the organism in Eukaryota, Metazoa, Chordata, Amphibia, Anura, Pelobatidae.
AUGUGUGACUCAACAUGAGAAAUAAGGUGGAGUAAUACAUCCAGUAUGUAAAAACAAAAAAAACUUUAUCUUGAGGUAUUUCAAUAUAAACAGUGUGUAUGGUUUGUGACAAAUUCUGGGGAGGCCACAUGGAAACCUGUUGCAACCAAUGGGAGGAGCACCCAUUCAAUCUGAGUUUGUGAAAUUCUUCUGGUUGUCAGAGGAGCGCCUGUUCAAAUGGGGUUUUGUG